RNAcentral lists this small RNA (127 nucleotides) under Marmota monax (woodchuck). Lineage: Eukaryota; Metazoa; Chordata; Mammalia; Rodentia; Sciuridae. The record is from RNAcentral.
GCCAGGUGUGGUAGCACAUACCUGUAAUCCCAGCCACUUGGGAGGCUGAGGCAAGAGGAUAAUAAGUUUGAGGCCAACUUUAGGAACUUAGUGAGGUCCUCAGUAACUUGGUGAGAUCCUGUCUCAA